AACGGGUGAGUAAUACAUCGGAACGUGCCCGAUCGUGGGGGAUAACGAAGCGAAAGCUUUGCUAAUACCGCAUACGAUCUACGGAUGAAAGCAGGGGACCGCAAGGCCUUGCGCGAACGGAGCGGCCGAUGGCAGAUUAGGUAGUUGGUGGGAUAAAAGCUUACCAAGCCGACGAUCUGUAGCUGGUCUGAGAGGACGACCAGCCACACUGGGACUGAGACACGGCCCAGACUCCUACGGGAGGCAGCAGUGGGGAAUUUUGGACAAUGGGCGAAAGCCUGAUCCAGCCAUGCCGCGUGCAGGAUGAAGGCCUUCGGGUUGUAAACUGCUUUUGUACGGAACGAAAAGACUCUGGUUAAUACCUGGGGUCCAUGACGGUACCGUAAGAAUAAGCACCGGCUAACUACGUGCCAGCAGCCGCGGUAAUACGUAGGGUGCAAGCGUUAAUCGGAAUUACUGGGCGUAAAGCGUGCGCAGGCGGUUAUAUAAGACAGAUGUGAAAUCCCCGGGCUCAACCUGGGAACUGCAUUUGUGACUGUAUAGCUAGAGUACGGCAGAGG
RNAcentral lists this ribosomal RNA (560 nucleotides) under uncultured bacterium. RNAcentral describes it as "bacterial SSU rRNA". It matches the Rfam family "Bacterial small subunit ribosomal RNA", at positions 101 to 657 of the family's 1533-position model. The record is from RNAcentral.